CCUACGGGUGGCUGCAGUGGGGAAUAUUGGACAAUGGGGGGAACCCUGAUCCAGCGACGCCGCGUGAGUGAAGAAGUAUUUCGGUAUGUAAAGCUCUAUCAGCAGGGAAGAAAAUGACGGUACCUGACUCAGAAGCCCCGGCUAACUACAUGCCAGCAGCCGCGGUAAUACGUAGGGGGCCAGCGUUAUCCGGAUUUACGUGGUGUAAAGGGAGCGUAGACGGUGCAGGCAGUCUGAUGUGAAAGGUAGGGGCCCAACCCCGGGACUGCAUGUGAAACUGUUGAACUGGAGUACAGGAGAGGUAAGCGGAAUGCCUAGUGUAGCGGUGAAAUGCGGAGAUAUUAGGAGGAACACCAGUGGCGAAGGCGGCUUACUGGACUGUAACUGACGUUGAGGCUCGAAAGCGUGGGGAGCAAACAGGAUUAGAUACCCCUGUAGUC
This 440-nucleotide ribosomal RNA is filed under the name uncultured bacterium. RNAcentral's name for it is "partial 16S ribosomal RNA". It matches the Rfam family "Bacterial small subunit ribosomal RNA", at positions 338 to 795 of the family's 1533-position model. The record is from RNAcentral.